This 71-nucleotide transfer RNA is filed under the name Candidatus Woesearchaeota archaeon. Its description in RNAcentral is "tRNA-His". It matches the Rfam family "tRNA". Rfam says of the family: Transfer RNA (tRNA) molecules are approximately 80 nucleotides in length. Their secondary structure includes four short double-helical elements and three loops (D, anti-codon, and T loops). Lineage: Archaea; Nanobdellati; Candidatus Woesearchaeota. The record is from RNAcentral. RNAcentral also lists the same sequence under 1 other name.
GCGGCUGUGGCGUAACGGUAGCGUAGAGGACUGUGACUCCUCUGGACCGGGUUCAACUCCCGGCAGUCGCC